CAGGCAACCGUGAUGUUCGUUGCUUAGGGGAGCCUGCGGCUUGGCCAAAUACCGAGGUGACACCAAUAUGAUGAGCGGCAAAAUGGCGUUUAUUAAGUUCUAACAAGCACUUAUAUAUCUUUUAACCCUUCGUGUACGCCCACUGGAUGGUACACGUGGCACGUACCUAACACAUAGGGAGGAGCCUGACACGUUACAUCCCGAGACCCCGAUCACGCCUAUUACAACACUUGGGGGAGAUGUGGU
This is a long non-coding RNA of Gallus gallus (chicken), 246 nucleotides long. RefSeq lists it as uncharacterized. The record is from RefSeq and is a predicted model, not a curated record. Lineage: Eukaryota; Metazoa; Chordata; Aves; Galliformes; Phasianidae. The transcript is spliced from 3 exons.